RNAcentral lists this ribosomal RNA (1268 nucleotides) under Cassava witches'-broom phytoplasma. RNAcentral's name for it is "bacterial SSU rRNA". It matches the Rfam family "Bacterial small subunit ribosomal RNA", at positions 135 to 1404 of the family's 1533-position model. Lineage: Bacteria; Bacillati; Mycoplasmatota; Mollicutes; Acholeplasmatales; Acholeplasmataceae. The record is from RNAcentral.
AAUUCACUAGUGAUUGAAACGACUGCUAAGACUGGAUAGGAAGAAAUAAGGCAUCUUAUUUCUUUUAAAAGACCUAGUAAUAGGUAUACUUUAGGAGGGGCUUGCGCCAUAUUAGUUAGUUGGUAGGGUAAUGGCCUACCAAGACGAUGAUGUGUAGCUGGACUGAGAGGUUGAACAGCCACAUUGGGACUGAGACACGGGCCCAAACUCCUACGGGAGGCGGCAGUAAGGAAUUUUCGGCAAUGGAGGAGACUCUGACCGAGCAACGCCGCGUGAACGACGAAGUACUUUGGUAUGUAAAGUUCUUUUAUCAAGGAAGAAAAGCAAGUGGCGAACCAUUUGUUUGCCGGUACUUGAUGAAUAAGCCCCGGCUAAUUAUGUGCCAGCAGCCGCGGUAAGACAUAAGGGGCAAGUGUUAUCCGGAAUUAUUGGGCGUAAAGGGUGCGUAGGCGGUCUAGUAAGUCAGUGGUGUAAUGGCAACGCUCAACGUUGUCCGGCUAUUGAAACUGCUAAACUUGAGUUAGAUAGAGGCGAGUGGAAUUCCAUGUGUAGCGGUAAAAUGCGUAAAUAUAUGGAGGAACACCAGAGGCGUAGGCGGCUCGCUGGGUCUUAACUGACGCUGAGGCACGAAAGCGUGGGGAGCAAACAGGAUUAGAUACCCUGGUAGUCCACGCCGUAAACGAUGAGUACUAAGUGUCGGGUUAAACCGGUACUGAAGUUAACACAUUAAGUACUCCGCCUGAGUAGUACGUACGCAAGUAUGAAACUUAAAGGAAUUGACGGGACUCCGCACAAGCGGUGGAUCAUGUUGUUUAAUUCGAAGAUACCCGAAAAACCUUACCAGGUCUUGACAUGUUUUUGCGAAACGGUAGUAAUAUCGUAGAGGUUAUCAGAAACACAGGUGGUGCAUGGUUGUCGUCAGCUCGUGUCGUGAGAUGUUAGGUUAAGUCCUAAAACGAGCGAAACCCUUAUCGUUAGUUGCCAGCACGUUAUGGUGGGGACUUUAACGAGACUGCCAAUGAUAAAUUGGAGGAAGGUGAGGAUCACGUCAAAUCAGCAUGCCCCUUAUGACCCGGGCUACAAACGUGAUACAAUGGCUGUUACAAAGGGUAGCUGAAACGCAAGUUCUUGGCCAAUCCCCAAAAACAGUCCCAGUCCGGAUUGAAGUCUGCAACUCGACUUCAUGAAGUUGGAAUCGCUAGUAAUCGCGAAUCAGCAUGUCGCGGUGAAUACGUUCGCGGGGUUUGUACACACCGCCCGUCAAAUCG